Molecule: long non-coding RNA, 214 nt
Filed under: Hordeum vulgare
Lineage: Eukaryota; Viridiplantae; Streptophyta; Magnoliopsida; Poales; Poaceae
Description: long non-coding RNA (HVUL_LNC003698)
Source: RNAcentral
UUCCACGGCAGCCCGACCACAUACCUCCACGGUUUUACCUCUAGAUCGCGUUUCUGCGGAGCUCGGGCGGAGCCCUGCUGAGAUUAGAUCACCACCAACCUCCGGAGCGCCGUCACGCUGUCGGAGAACUCAUCUACCUCUCCGUCUCUCUUGCUGGAUCAAGAAGGCCGAGAUCAUCGUCGAGCUGUACGUGUGCUGAACGCGGAGGUGCCGU